GAGGGUAUAGCUCAAUGUUGGAGUGUGUGCUUAGCAUGCAGGAGGUCCUGUGUUCAAUCCCCAGUACCUCCA
Transfer RNA from Camelus ferus (Wild Bactrian camel), 72 nucleotides. It matches the Rfam family "tRNA". Rfam says of the family: Transfer RNA (tRNA) molecules are approximately 80 nucleotides in length. Their secondary structure includes four short double-helical elements and three loops (D, anti-codon, and T loops). The record is from Rfam. Lineage: Eukaryota; Metazoa; Chordata; Mammalia; Artiodactyla; Camelidae.